This 339-nucleotide unclassified non-coding RNA is filed under the name Hevea brasiliensis (rubber tree). The record is from RNAcentral. Lineage: Eukaryota; Viridiplantae; Streptophyta; Magnoliopsida; Malpighiales; Euphorbiaceae.
AAAACACUUUCAUAAUCAAGAUUUAACAUAAUCUUAUUAUUAUUUUUCCCACUAUCAUAAUUUAUCUCCAAAAAUUCAACCUUUUUGUUAUCUUCAUCUAAGUUAUUAAUAACUUGUGAAUCAUAAUCAAACUUGAGCUCAAAUGUCUCACCAACCAUAUCAAAUUCUGAAUAAUCAACUUGAUUAUUAGUACUAAUCAUAUUCACAAAUCCCACUUCUCCUUCAUCUUCAACCUUCACUAAUUUCUCAUCAUGUUUUUCCAAAAAACCUAAACCUUCCAUGUAAUUAAAUGACUCUUCAUCAUCAAGUCCUUUCCCUAAUAAACUUACCACAUCCGCG